Long non-coding RNA from Triticum aestivum (bread wheat), 4870 nucleotides. RefSeq lists it as uncharacterized. NCBI's taxonomy places the organism in Eukaryota, Viridiplantae, Streptophyta, Magnoliopsida, Poales, Poaceae. The record is from RefSeq and is a predicted model, not a curated record. The transcript has 6 exons.
AGGGUUAGAUCCCCAAAUAGUUUCAGACAGGGUCAGAUCUCGAAUUUCUUUGUAAAAAGGGUCAAAACAUGAAAUUCAGCCACCCACACACGUAGCCCAAAGAAACAGCGCCGCCUGAGUCCAUCAAGAUCGCAGUGCCGCCGAUCCCCUCGAGCAGACCCUGCCGGAUCUCGCGUCCGCGUUACGGGAUCGCCGAUAGUUCUGGAUCGCCGCCGUCGCGCGAUCUGCGCACUCGACAGCGCCGCCGCCGCGGAACCCCUCGAGAAGACCCCGCCGGAUCUCGCAUCCACGUUUCUGGAUCGUCGGCCCUGCUCACCGCCCUUGCCCCUCUCUCUCAUGUUUCCUACCCCGCUGUUUGUUCCACGCUGGUCCUCGUCUUCCCCGUCGGUCGCCGCCUUGGGUUUGCGAACCCAGCCACCGUGGGAUGGGAUUCAAACGCCACAUCAGUUUGGGUACGCGGCGACGCCUUGGCCUGAUGCCUCUGAUUUAGGGGAGCUGAGGCAACAUGGGACUGCGCCGCCGUGCUGUUCGCCGUGAUGCGUGGCCGCGCUGUGUAGAUGGAGGACGCGGGCCCAAGCCGUGUUGCGCUUGUCUUCCUGUGCGGAUGUUCGCCAAUAGUCAGGAGCUGGACGUGAUCGGGGUCGACUUCGACGCCACCGAGUUCGGGCUUCCGGAAGACCAGGCACCUCCUCAUCGCCCGUCGCACCAAAGGCACGUGCAGAAUUCAGCACACCAUCUACGCAAACAUGGUGGUCGACGACGCUCUGGUUCUGGUUCUGUCAUCAACAUGUACCCUGACAAGGUAUGUGCUGCGGGUUGUACUCUCGAUUUUAUCUUUAUUUUAGUUGUUGACAUCAUCUCAUGCUUUCCCGUUCCAUAGGCAUUGUCGUCAAUCUGUUUUCCUUUAGUUUUCAGGAGGGUGUUGUUAACAAUUUCAAGAACCUUAUAGCAGGGUAUGGCUAUAGCUAUUGGUUUUGCAGUAUCGCGACUCGCGAGGCUUGACAAACAUACUUGUUCUGCAUAACAUGGGAUCUCACAUAACAUAUCAUUCAGUGAAGAGUAGACCAUAAAAUGGUUUUGAUUUGUGCUCUCGUAGGUUAAACCAAUCUCUGUCAAUGCGAAAUUGGCAUAGCUGAACAUGAUUAAGACUUCAGGAGGGCAGAGUUAUUACUUUGAAGUUUCAGAACUCGUACUUUAUGUGCCAAAAUUUUGGAUGUUGCACUCCUAUAAUAGGCUGGUAUGGCUAAUCUUUUUUGCUUUUCUUUCAUUGCUCUUCACGGAAUCUUCAGGUUUACAAAUUGAUAAUUGUGAUCUAUGUUUCAAGUUGACUUCCCAAUGUUUUACACUUUUACUUGAUGAGAAAAGGUUCUAAUUUUAUUUUAUUUUCUCACUUGAUCUUCAGGUUUACAGGGUUAACAAUUGGGGUCCAUAUUUCAGCGACUUUAUACAAGUACGUUUGCUUAGCUAGAUUUCUGGCCUCAUUUUCUAUUUGGCAUCCCUCAAUCAUUUUCUGCAGAUUCACUUUGUUUGUAUUAUAUAUUGUUGUAAGUGCACCUGAGGGAUAUUAUAGUAGUUCUUAUCUGCAUUUACUACAACUGGUGACCACAUCUCCAUAUUAUCUUUGAAAGAUACUUUACAAAAAGUAAACUAAUGUUAACCUUCAGUUCUGUAGAAACCACACAUUUUAAAUCCAAUAAUCACUUUUUAGUGGAAAGGCAGUAAUCAGUGAUGGUGAUUUAAGAUGUACUCCUUAGAGUAUUGACAUUCACAACCCGCCGGUAAGUUCUCGUUCAUCUUUGAAACUUCUUGGCCAAAAUGUUAUAUCCUUAUGUAUACAUUUCAUCAUUGGUUGUAAAUCUCCUCUGUAUGGAAUAUUCCACAUUCUUACCUUUUUUCUAUGAUAUGGAACACAACUUGUUUAAACAUGUAUGAUUCUUUAUUUUAUAGAAAAUAUGAAGCUAACAAAAAAAAGGUCCAUGCAUUGGUGCAUAAUCCAACUUAUGAAUUCUGUGAACAUAACAUUUUCAGAGCAGCAUUGAUAGUUUCCAACUUGCCUGCUUUAGGAUCAGAUGAGAACAUGAAUGCUCUAAAUUAAAUUCAUGGCCAAUGUACACAACGAGAGCUACAGAAUAAUAUUUCUCAAUAAAUAUGGAUGGUUCAGUUAAUACCGAACAUGACUACAAAGAAAACUGAAUUGCCAUUGCCAAUAUUGUUAAUAACAAUCAACAACAAAUGUCGUCGAGGAGGUCUAUGGCCUGAGCGUCAAGGCGCUUGUCAUGGACGAGGACCAGCAGGACCUCGAGAAGCCCAUCGUCGCACCGCCCGGCGUCGUGAAGUUUGAGGUCGGCACCCCAGCGGACACAACCUCAAACCACAUCUCCCAUUCAUCAUAGCUAGAAGAGAAUGUGGUAUUGUGCAGAGUAGCCCCUCUUCGUUGAUGAAUCGGGUGUAUAGAUUAUAUAUUACUAAAGGAAUCCACCUUAAAAGGCAUUCCACUAAAAACGCAGUAGGGCCCUAUUUCAAGUUCCUUGCACUUAAACUGCAAAAAAGGAAAGGCACUUUUCCUAACCUUUCCCGUUAAGGCCGAGCAGUCAAGUAAAUAACAGUCUCCCGGUCUCCAGCCGCUGCCGCAGCCGACGCCCCACCCCAAUCAUCAAUCUGGCUCUUCACCUCACACCAACGCGGUGUCUCCCAGCGAUGACCUCUUCCUCACGCCCGCACCCUCAUCCUCCUCCUCAAGACGUCAUCAUCGCCUCCCUAGCCCGUGGCCAUGAUGACCGAUCUGGCGUUGGCGUCGUAGAUCACCCUGUGGUCCAUGACCUCGACCAGUUUGCUACGAUCUAGCGACGAAGAUGCAAAGAGAAGCUGCUGCGUGUUCAAGGGGCCGUGAGGAUGCCCACUAUGAAGCAUCUGCGUGCAUAUAUGCAACCAAUGUUUUUCUCUGGAUAAGGUUUCAGAAUGAGAACAGUGAUAACUCUCAUCUGGUACAAAGUGAUACAUUCUCUCGGGAUACUCAGGUAUACUUUUCACAUUUGAACACAAAACUGUAAUUUUGCUUAUGUUGAUUUAUCUUGAAAAUGUGGAGUCAAUAUAACUGGUUGUCUACGAGUCCAUGUUAUGUAGAAGAGCAUUCAGACUAUGCUAUCAAUACUAUGAAGAGUAGAGCAUUCAGAAUAUGUUUCCAAGUGUUAGUAAAUGUAUUGCUGGACUAUAGUGCAAACAUCUUCUAUAUUGUUUGCAGCAAUUUCAAAGCUUUCAACGUAUGAAGUGCUGCAGCUUUUUUUAGAUCAAUGAAGUGUUGCAGUUAAGAGUUAACUACAGAGUGCCAAGAUACUAAACUCCAAUUUCACAUGGGCCUCGUAUAUUUCAUCAACUAUUUUGCAUACUAAGCAUGGGAGGAUCUCCUGGUGGAGUUUGGGAGAGGGGAUGCACUAGGAGGAGGAGACGUCAUGGUGGCCAAGCCCGGAUGUAGCAGAAGAGGUAGGGUCGUUGCCAUAAACUAUGCGGGUCAACGAAGUCUGUGAGGCAGAAGUACCAUAGCGUACAGUUGCCUCUGCUACCAUGUGGCAACGCGCAACCACGAAGGGCUUGACGUUUUGGCUGUCAAGAAGCACUAGGUUGCCGGCAGGCAAGGCAUCCAGGAAGCCAGAGCACGAGAGAGCGAUGCUGCUCAAAGGAAAUCUUUUAAGUUGCUGCUGAAGGAAGAAGACAUGGGGUCAGAAAAAUGUUAAGAUUGACUUGAUGUGUGGUAAGGAAAAUCCAGUCGAUUUUUUUUGAUGCUUGAACAUCCACUACUCAGUUAUUCUUUUAGCUUUGCAUAAUCUGCCAAGUUAUAAGCAGUUCCUUUUAUUUGGACACGCAUAAUGACCAUUCCGCAGCAUCAAGUUCAAGAAAAAAGUUUUUCAAGGUUAGUAAUUUUCUCAAAAAAAAGUUCUUCAAGGUUAGUAAUUAAUACUCCGUUCCCAUAUGGAUAUGCAUGAUGGUUGUUCAUUUUUUGGGAUAACUUACCCAUCUUAUGCCUUGAAAAUUGAGCUACCUCCAUGAUUAUGCAUCUGGUCUCAGUAGAAUUUUUUACCGCCAAAAUACAGUUGUGAAGAGGAGUUCCUGAUGAUAGCUGAAUAUACCAGCCUACUUGCCUACAACCAAGGCAAAAUUAUCAGCGUGUAUGCGAAACAGUCAGAGCUGGUGACUGGAGAAUGCCUGCAGAUAGCUGAGAAGACACAGGUGCACGAUACAUUGCAUACUACAAAGUAGACAUGUCUUUACAAACGACAUGGCAGGAAUAUAUAUACUAAGGUGGAAGCAAAGCGUCCUAUAUCCAUGAAAAUAAAUAGUAUUGGGAUUCAGACAUCAAGGAAGAAAAUGAGACAUUAACAUUUGAUGAAGAUGCAACUUCUUGAUAGAAAGCAGGACUGCUUAUGAGGGGUGCUGGCGGUAAUCAGAAGAAAUUUGCAUGUGGUGAAAUAACUACCUCAUAGACGAGUAAUUAGUUUUGAUGUAGGAAAAAUCUGCAGCUGGUUAAGCUUUGAUGUAUAAAUAGUAACACAUCGCUCUGUGAAAAUGUUCUUGUUAAGGUUAUUCAAUGGGCUAAGUUUUCUAAACAAUGUUGACUUGAUAUUACACUAAAAUCUUGAGAAUACUUGAUGGACCAAGGCAUGAAGGCAAGUAGUGUUUGUAAUGACUUGGUUUAUGGUAGUGCAAAAUAAAUUAUAAAUAGAGUUCAUAGAUCAUUGUUAUGAAAUCUUUUAAACUUGUAGAUAUUCUUGUUCAUAUCAUCGCAUCCACAAUGACCUAACUAUCUUGCUUACUAUGCUUCACACAAAUAUUUUUUGUAAGUUUUCUUAUCAGAAACUGAAAAAUUACACCACCA